Molecule: ribosomal RNA, 404 nt
Filed under: Actinomycetes bacterium
Lineage: Bacteria; Bacillati; Actinomycetota; Actinomycetes
Description: Actinobacteria bacterium partial 16S ribosomal RNA
Rfam family: Bacterial small subunit ribosomal RNA
Source: RNAcentral
UGGGGAAUAUUGGACAAUGGGCGCAAGCCUGAUCCAGCCAUGCCGCGUGAGUGAUGAAGGCCCUAGGGUUGUAAAGCUCUUUCACCGGUGAAGAUAAUGACGGUAACCGGAGAAGAAGCCCCGGCUAACUUCGUGCCAGCAGCCGCGGUAAUACGAAGGGGGCUAGCGUUGUUCGGAUUUACUGGGCGUAAAGCGCACGUAGGCGGACUAUUAAGUCAGGGGUGAAAUCCCGGGGCUCAACCCCGGAACUGCCUUUGAUACUGGUAGUCUUGGGUUCGAGAGAGGUGAGUGGAAUUCCGAGUGUAGUGGUGAAAUUCGUAGAUAUUCGGAGGAACACCAGUGGCGAAGGCGGCUCACUGGCUCGAUACUGACGCUGAGGUGCGAAAGCGUGGGGAGCAAACAGG